Molecule: transfer RNA, 76 nt
Filed under: Desulfoplanes formicivorans
Lineage: Bacteria; Pseudomonadati; Thermodesulfobacteriota; Desulfovibrionia; Desulfovibrionales; Desulfoplanaceae
Also listed under: 2 other names
Description: tRNA-Met
Rfam family: tRNA
About the family: Transfer RNA (tRNA) molecules are approximately 80 nucleotides in length. Their secondary structure includes four short double-helical elements and three loops (D, anti-codon, and T loops).
Source: RNAcentral
GGGCCCAUAGCUCAGUUGGCAGAGCCCCCGGCUCAUAACCGGAUGGUCCGAGGUUCGAAUCCUCGUGGGCCCACCA